AGGGAGGUAAGCUAAUUCAAGCUCGUGGGUUCAUACCCCAUUUAUGGAAUCUUUUCCCCUUUCUA
RNAcentral lists this transfer RNA (65 nucleotides) under Ameletus sp. 1 MT-2014. RNAcentral describes it as "tRNA-Met". The record is from RNAcentral. Lineage: Eukaryota; Metazoa; Arthropoda; Insecta; Ephemeroptera; Ameletidae.